UAAUUGAAGAGUUUGAUCAUGGCUCAGAUUGAACGCUGGCGGCAGGCCUAACACAUGCAAGUCGAGCGGCAGCGACAACAUUGACCCUUCGGGUGAUUUGUUGGGCGGCGAGCGGCGGACGGGUGAGUAAUGCCUGGGAACAUGCCUUAGUGUGGGGGAUAACCAUUGGAAACGAUGGCUAAUACCGCAUAAUCUCUACGGAGCAAAGCGGGGGACCUUCGGGCCUCGCGCGCUAAGAUUGGCCCAGGUGGGAUUAGCUAGUAGGUGGGGUAACGGCUCACCUAGGCGACGAUCCCUAGCUGGUCUGAGAGGAUGAUCAGCCACACUGGAACUGAGACACGGUCCAGACUCCUACGGGA
RNAcentral lists this ribosomal RNA (359 nucleotides) under Photobacterium arenosum. RNAcentral describes it as "bacterial SSU rRNA". It matches the Rfam family "Bacterial small subunit ribosomal RNA", at positions 1 to 346 of the family's 1533-position model. The record is from RNAcentral. Lineage: Bacteria; Pseudomonadati; Pseudomonadota; Gammaproteobacteria; Vibrionales; Vibrionaceae.